UGAAAAGGACCGAGGUUGGCUAAAGUCGCAACGUCCUGGGGCUCCGAUUACUCGCCCCACCAUAAAGAUUUGUUGCAACGCCGACACUAGCACGUCCUGUGCG
RNAcentral lists this small RNA (103 nucleotides) under Bacilli bacterium VT-13-104. RNAcentral describes it as "Bacillaceae-1 RNA". It matches the Rfam family "Bacillaceae-1 RNA". Lineage: Bacteria; Bacillati; Bacillota; Bacilli. The record is from Rfam by way of RNAcentral.